RNAcentral lists this ribosomal RNA (484 nucleotides) under uncultured bacterium. RNAcentral describes it as "partial 16S ribosomal RNA". It matches the Rfam family "Bacterial small subunit ribosomal RNA", at positions 29 to 507 of the family's 1533-position model. The record is from RNAcentral.
AUUGAACGCUGGCGGCAUGCUUUACACAUGCAAGUCGAACGGCAGCGCGGGCUUCGUCCUGGCGGCGAGUGGCGAACGGGUGAGUAAUACAUCGGAACGUGCCCAGUAGUGGGGGAUAGCUCGGCGAAAGCAGGAUUAAUACCGCAUACGACCUGAGGGUGAAAGCGGGAGAUCUUCGGACCUCGCGCUAUUGGAGCGGCCGAUGGCAGAUUAGCUAGUUGGUGGGGUAAAGGCCUACCAAGGCGACGAUCUGUAGCUGGUCUGAGAGGACGACCAGCCACACUGGGACUGAGACACGGCCCAGACUCCUACGGGAGGCAGCAGUGGGGAAUUUUGGACAAUGGGCGAAAGCCUGAUCCAGCAAUGCCGCGUGCGUGAUGAAGGCCUUCGGGUUGUAAAGCACUUUUGGCGGGAACGAAAGGGACUGUGCCAAUACCACGGUUCGAUGACGGUACCCGCAGAAUAAGCACCGGCUAACUACGUG